Molecule: ribosomal RNA, 484 nt
Filed under: uncultured bacterium
Lineage: Bacteria
Description: partial 16S ribosomal RNA
Rfam family: Bacterial small subunit ribosomal RNA
Source: RNAcentral
AUUGAACGCUGGCGGCAGGCCUAACACAUGCAAGUCGAGCGGAUGAAGGGAGCUUGCUCCUGGAUUCAGCGGCGGACGGGUGAGUAAUGCCUAGGAAUCUGCCUGGUAGUGGGGGAUAACGUCCGGAAACGGGCGCUAAUACCGCAUACGUCCUGAGGGAGAAAGUGGGGGAUCUUCGGACCUCACGCUAUCAGAUGAGCCUAGGUCGGAUUAGCUAGUUGGUGGGGUAAAGGCCUACCAAGGCGACGAUCCGUAACUGGUCUGAGAGGAUGAUCAGUCACACUGGAACUGAGACACGGUCCAGACUCCUACGGGAGGCAGCAGUGGGGAAUAUUGGACAAUGGGCGAAAGCCUGAUCCAGCCAUGCCGCGUGUGUGAAGAAGGUCUUCGGAUUGGAAAGCACUUUAAGUUGGGAGGAAGGGCAGUAAGUUAAUACCUUGCUGUUUUGACGUUACCAACAGAAUAAGCACCGGCUAACUUCGUG